RNAcentral lists this small RNA (501 nucleotides) under Pan troglodytes (chimpanzee). RNAcentral's name for it is "processed transcript". The record is from RNAcentral. Lineage: Eukaryota; Metazoa; Chordata; Mammalia; Primates; Hominidae.
AGCUAAGGACCCGAGGUAUGAGAAGCGCUGGCUGGACACCUUGUCCGUGCCUCUGUCCAUGGCUCGCAUCUCAAGGUACAAAGCCGGAACGGAAAAAUUAAGAUUGUAACGGAGCUGAAAAUCCCUACUGCCUGGUGACAUCAACCAUCGUAACCUCACAGUGAAAGAUAUGACUCACGUGUUUGUGGUGAUGUUGACAUAGACAAACCUACUGCACUGCCAGUCAUAUAAAAGGAAACAGUAAUGUCCUGGACCUUCACAUUCACUCACUCCUCACUCAUGGCUUCACCCAGAACAACUUCCAGUCCUGAAGGCUCUAUUCAUGGCACUCACCUUAUUUCAGAAGGAGAAGGCAGAUGGGCUCUAUAGUAGUCAUAAUGGAAACAGACCUACUGCAGAUAAGCAGAUUUUGAAAAGUGAUACUGCAAGUCAGAAUUAUACUGCUAAAUACUCUAAUUUGUUUUGCAAAGGAGAGUAUCAUGUUUAAAUAGUCAUACCAAA